GAUGAAGAACGCAGUGAAAUGCGAUAAGUAAUGUGAAUUGCAGAAUUCAGUGAAUCAUCGAAUCUUUGAACGCACAUUGCGCCCCUUGGUAUUCCAUGGGGCAUGCCUGUUCGAGCGUCAUUUGUACCUUCAAGCUUUGCUUGGUGUUGGGUGUUUGUCUCGCCUUUGCGUGUAGACUCGCCUCAAAACAAUUGGCAGCCGGCGUAUUGAUUUCGGAGCGCAGUACAUCUCGCGCUUUGCACUCAUAACGACGACGUCCAAAAGUACAUUUUUACACUCUUGACCUCGGAUCAGGUAGGGAUACCCGCUGAACUUAAGCAUAUCAAUAAGCGGAGGA
RNAcentral lists this unclassified non-coding RNA (337 nucleotides) under soil metagenome. RNAcentral's name for it is "partial contains 5.8S ribosomal RNA, internal transcribed spacer 2, and large subunit ribosomal RNA". The stretch from base 1 to 120 matches the Rfam family "5.8S ribosomal RNA", at positions 35 to 154 of the family's 154-position model. The record is from RNAcentral.